GUGAGGAAUUUUGCGCAAUGGGGGCAACCCUGACGCAGCGACGCCGCGUGGAGGACGAAGUCUUUCGGGAUGUAAACUCCUGUCAGUGGGGACGAUAAUGACGGUACCCACAGAGGAAGCACCGGCUAACUCCGUGCCAGCAGCCGCGGUAAGACGGAGGGUGCAAGCGUUGUUCGGAAUUACUGGGCGUAAAGCGUAUGUAGGCGGCAAGUUAAGUUCAAUGUUAAAGCCCACGGCUCAACCGAGGAAGUGCAUUGAAUACUGGCUAGCUAGAGGGUGUUAGAGGAAGACGGAAUUCCCAGUGUAGCGGUGAAAUGCUUAGAUAUUGGGAGGAACAUCGGUAGCGAAAGCGGUCUUCUGGGACAUACCUGACGUUGAGGUACGAAAGCGUGGGGAGCAAACGGGAUUAGCAACCCUGGUAGUCC
Molecule: ribosomal RNA, 425 nt
Filed under: uncultured bacterium
Lineage: Bacteria
Description: partial 16S ribosomal RNA
Rfam family: Bacterial small subunit ribosomal RNA
Source: RNAcentral